GCCAUUGCUAAGUGUGCUGUUACGGGAGAAGAGAGAAGGAAAUGAUUAGCUCCAGCCAAAGCGGAGAGGAGAUCUUUCACAAAAGCGGAAAUCGCAAGAGAGUAUAAUUUCGGCAGUCUGCGGACAAAAGAAAGAAGGGAUGAGGGUACGGCGUGACACUCAAAGGGACAUACACUAAGACUGGCUAUGCUCCUGUCGUCUUUCUUUCCCCACCAAGCCCCCUGUGCCAGAGAAGCAUAUGCUACCUGAGAACAAUGCUUCAUGUUGAAGAUGGCAGAGUGAUAAUAUGGAAGAAAUCUUGAAUCCCUGAAUCAUCAUUUAAAGGAAAGCCACCUGGUGAUCAAGAAUGCUGGUUUGGACUGAGAAGUAAGCUGAGAAGCUGGAUUAUAUGAAGAAGAAUGGGGCAUGAGGAUUGGUGGAAGGCUCAUUAACAACCUGCAUUACGCAGAUGACACCACCUUGCUUGCUGAAAGUAAGGAGGACUUGAAACACUUACUGAUCAAUAUCAAAGACCACAGCCUUCAGUAUGGAUGACGCUUCAACGUAAGGAAAACAAAAAUCCUCACAACUGGACCAAUAAGCAACAUCACGAUAAAUAGAGAAAAGUUUGAAGUUAUCAAGGAUUUCAUUUUACUUGGAUCAACAGUCAACACCCAUGGAAGCAGGAGUCAAGAAAUCAAAAGAUGCAUUGCAUUGGGCAAAUCUGCUACAAAAGACCUCUUUGAAGUGUUGAAAGCAAGGAUGUCACCUUGAAGACUAAGGUGUGCCUGACCCAAGCCAUGGUAUUUUCAAUUGCAUCAUAUGCAUUCAAAAAUUGGACAAUGAAUAAGGAAGACAGAAGAACUGACGCCUUUGUGGUGUUGGCAAAGAAUAUUGAAUAUACCAUGGGGUGCCAAAAACAAACAAACAAAUCCAUCUUGGAAGAAGUACAACCAGAAUGCUCCUUAGAAGCAAAGAUGCCAAGACUAUGUCUGAAAUAUUUUGGACAUGUUGUCAAGAGAAAUCAGUCCCUGGAGAAGGACAUCAUCAUGCUUGGUCAAGUAUAGGGCCAAAGAAAAAGAGGAAGACCCUCAACAAGAUGGAUUGACACAGUGCUGCAACAAUGGGCUCAAGCAUAACAACGAUUCUGGGCAUGGCGCAGGACUGGGCAGUGUUUCAUUCUGUUUUACACAGGGUCGCUACGAGUGGAACCAACUUGAUGACACCUAACAACAACAACGAGACUGAAUUGUCCUUAUCGCCCCCAGUCUUCCUGGCCUCGUGGAAAGGACCAAAGGAAUCAUAAAAACUCAGUUGACAAAGCUCACAGCAUCUAUGGAAUUGACCUGACUGCAGGCCCCCCUGUUACUGUUAAUGAACCUAAAAGCCCCUCCUUUCGGCCUGAAUAAAUUAGCUCUUUUUGAGACUUUAAUGGGUCAGGCAAUGAACUUACUGUAUUCAAUAGUCAUUAUAGAUUCAAAUUUAAUCCAAGCUGAUUCGUUGAAGUAUUGCCAAUCUUUGAUUCAUUAUGCUAGAGAACAUGCUACCUUUCUUAAAGAGGCUUUUAACAAUAAGAAUAUUGGAGUGCCUGCUACCUCUCCUCUUCUACUAAGAGAUCAUGUCUAUUGGAACGGGCAUCAAUUAAAUGAUUCCCUUGAACCUUGAUGGAAGGGACCUUACUUAGUCUUACUCAUGAAUUCUUGUGCUGCCAAAUUACAGGGAGUCAAGGUGUGGAUUUAUUUAUCCCAACUAAAGAAAGCUCUGACUCACAAUUGGACUGUUGAGCCUCAUGAAGGACUGAAAUUAAAAUUCAAGCAUUACCAGGAAGAGAAACAGAUGACAGCUGGGUAGACUGCUUUCCCAAGAUUUCCAGAUUUGACCUGAAACCGCCUAUGCAGCUUGCAGUAAAAUUUGGACUGUUUGCCUUUUUCUUUAUCAUUUUAAGUGUGUUAGUAUUGUUAGUUGCUAUGUGUGAUUGUGGAAUUAUAUCUUGGUGGUUUUGGUGAUUAUAUUAUGCCAAUUGUAUCUUUUUAAAAUAAGUUGUGUAAAUGAGGGCUUUAACUCUUUUAAAAUUUUUUAUUAGCCACAGGGAUCAUAAUUUUUAGUUGUGGCUAUAUUGGUGAUUUUAGCAACUCAUUUGUGAGGCCACCUUCUGACCAUUAUAGUUAUUUUUGCUUAAUCCGAGUUUAUAACUUGUAUGGGAAUUUAGGAUCACUAGCUCUUUGCUUGUCUUAAGUUUUAUAAUCACUUCCACCAUUUAUAUUUUAUUAACCCCUUGCCAUUAAUGCCAGUUGCAGGUUAAUUUACUAAGAAUUUCAUGAAUUUUGAAAGAACUUGGUAUCUUUUUAUCAGCAGCAUUCUAGUUAUAUUGGUGAGUAGUCAUCUUAUUCUCGUUUAUGCCUUUCAUUGCUGAAGUUUAUUCUGUCAUCACUAUCAUUCGUGUGCUCAUAGCCCUUGUUUAUUUCUUUUGGGCUGUGUUUCUCCACUAUGAAGCCCUUCUUAAAUUUUCUGCCUGCACUGCAGCUCAUCCCAGCUCCCACUAACUCCUGGCACAAAAAUGCUUUUGUCAGGCUAGCUCAGGCAGUUGCAUGAUCCACAAAUCUUACUGAUUGCUGGAUCUAUCAUCCUUUACCCAAAACUGUACAUGAGAACUCAGAUCCAUUAGCUACUACCAUACUGAAUUAUAGUUAUUUUUCCCCCACUACCAUCAAUUUUAACAUCACCUUUAGGGAAGCCAUACUGUGUGAGACCGUGUCAUCCUUCUGAAAUACCUACUCAAUUCCUGGUCCCAUGUUUACAUCUGACACAGAUUAAAGAGUGUUCCAAAAAUACCCUGGACCUCUUCUUUAGAAAAAUGGGCCCUUAAUUACAUAUAACACCCUUCCCAGGUAUUGGAACGUGGCUUUUUCAGGAAAUUUAACAGCAGGUCUACAGGGAAAAAGGUCUUUUUUUGUCCAAAUAUGGAAUUGCCUAAAUUUAGGAUGACCGUCUAUUUGCAACAACUCCUUGACAGAGAAUUGGCUUAAACAGAUGAAUCAAACUAUCUCAGUUAUCUAGAACUGCUAUAAGAGAAAUACCUAUGUGUUGUAAAUCCUACCUAUAUGAUGUUAAUGAGGCAGGAUUAGAGACGGUUAUGUUAAUCAAUCUACAAGAUUAGGUUGUGUCUUAAGCCAAUCUCUUUUGAGAUACAAAAGAGAGAAGCAAGUAGAGAGACAGGGAGACCUCAUACCACCAAGAAACAAGAGCCAGCAGAAUAGCAUGUCCUUUAGACUGGGGUCUCUGAGCUGAGAAGC
This is a long non-coding RNA of Loxodonta africana (African savanna elephant), 3272 nucleotides long. RefSeq lists it as uncharacterized. The transcript has 4 exons. Lineage: Eukaryota; Metazoa; Chordata; Mammalia; Proboscidea; Elephantidae. The record is from RefSeq and is a predicted model, not a curated record.